RNAcentral lists this ribosomal RNA (253 nucleotides) under uncultured bacterium. RNAcentral describes it as "partial 16S ribosomal RNA". It matches the Rfam family "Bacterial small subunit ribosomal RNA", at positions 524 to 776 of the family's 1533-position model. The record is from RNAcentral.
UACGUAGGGGGCAAGCGUUGUCCGGAAUCAUUGGGCGUAAAGCGCGUGUAGGCGGCUGGCUAAGUCCGCUCUGAAAGCUCGGGGCUCAACCCCGAGUCGGCCGUGCGAACUGCUGGGCUCGAGCACUGUAGAGGCAGGCGGAAUUCCGGGUGUAGCGGUGGAAUGCGUAGAGAUCCGGAAGAACACCGGUGGCGAAGGCGGCCUGCUGGGCAGUAGCUGACACUGAGGCGCGACAGCGUGGGGAGCAAACAGG